Molecule: ribosomal RNA, 777 nt
Filed under: uncultured Neocallimastigales
Lineage: Eukaryota; Fungi; Neocallimastigomycota; Neocallimastigomycetes; Neocallimastigales
Description: partial large subunit ribosomal RNA
Rfam family: Eukaryotic large subunit ribosomal RNA
Source: RNAcentral
UCAUCACUACGCUAGAUGCAUAUCAAUAAGCGGAGGAAAAGAAACUAACAAGGAUUCCCUUAGUAACGGCGAGUGAAGCGGGAAGAGCUCAAAUUUGAAAUCUUCAAGGUUUUACCUUGACGAAUUGUAGUUUAAAGAAGUGUUUUCUGUUGAAGUUUUGGUAAAAGUUCUUUGGAAUAGGACAUCAUAGAGGGUGAGAAUCCCGUAUUUGACCAUUAUUUUCAGCUGUGUGAUAGCACUUUCAAAGAGUCGGAUUGUUUGGGAAUGCAGUCCAAAAUGGGUGGUAAAUUUCAUCUAAAGCUAAAUAUUGGCGAGAGACCGAUAGCGAACGAGUACCGUGAGGGAAAGAUGAAAAGAACUUUGAAAAGAGAGUUAAACAGUACGUGAAAUUGUCAAAAGGGAAGCGUUUGACACCAGUGUUGUUUUCUCGAAAAUCAAUUAAAAAAAGUUGGAUUUUGUGUUGUAUUGACCUUAACAGCUUUCUGCACUCUUUUCCUGCUUUUUUUAAUGCACUUUUCGUUUAACAAGUCAACAUCAGUUUCUUUUGUUGUAAAAGGGUCAUUGGAAGGUGGCUUUCUUUUCGGAGAAAGUGUUUAUAGCCUUUGAUCUCUGCAAUCGGAGAGACUGAGGUCUGCAGCGUAGAUCCUUCGGGGUUAGAUACAUUUGUGCUGAGUUAUAACUUUUCAUAGACAACUUGUUGACUAUGUUUCAGUCAUAUAGCUUACUCGCUUAUGCUAUUUUACCUACGCUUAGGAUGUUAACGCAUGAGAUAUACGC